Long non-coding RNA from Mercenaria mercenaria, 3969 nucleotides. RefSeq lists it as uncharacterized. The transcript is spliced from 3 exons. The record is from RefSeq and is a predicted model, not a curated record. Lineage: Eukaryota; Metazoa; Mollusca; Bivalvia; Venerida; Veneridae.
UACGGCCUUGACACGGGCUGUUGGAACUCUAUUUUGUAUGUAUCCAAAACAUUAUAUUAUAUAGAGGCAUUUGCAGAUUCGAAAAUGGAUUCAGCAGAUUCGGCAUUGGUUUCAACCGGUCAUAGCAGGGUUAUUGUUCUAUAGCAUUUUGGCAGACAUAUUAACUUUAACUGAAGUGACGCCAUAUUUCAACAGUAACAACGUACUCCAGGAAGUUUUUUCAGGCUGUGACGUCUGCUAUAAAUGUGUAUCAGCUGUACCGAAUCAGAUGAUCGUCUUCCUUUGUGUCAGGAACUAACGGACAAGAUACGUAUCAACGUUUCAGUCAAGAAAGAUUACAUAGUAGUUAUCUAAUUCCCAGGAAUAUGACACCCAAACAGGAAGGCGGGCCAGAAAGAAAGCUAAAAUUAUUUGGAUCGCCGCUUCUAAAUGAACUCGUCUUUUUUACACUUUGCUUUUACUUUUGACAUUAAACGGAUCCAUACGUCAAGAGAAAAUCACUUGUAUUCGAGCUCCUGUGAUAUGCAUGUAUUUCAAAUACAUAAUUACGAUACAAGUAAUGAUUUUGCUUUUCUGGUAAAAAUCAACUCACAACACUAGUGUAUUUUCAUAUUACUUCAUUUUCAUAUUACUUAUCAGACCGUAAAAUUGAUCUUUUGUGUUUUCCCUUUAAUGAAAACAACAUGAUAGAAAUAACCGCUUUUACACAAAACGAAUCCUCACAGCAGCGUAAGUAUAGAUGGAUUAUAGUAACAAGGACAACACCAACAAAUGAAGGAACCAAGGCUUCGAAACGGUCUGUGGUAAAUAUGUACAAACACAAACUCUAAUUCCUACGAUCUUAACCAUGUUCGUUAUAGAUGGACGCUAUCUAAGCCGUGUGAAUUAUCUAUUAUUAUAGUAAGUGAUUAAAGUCUGUAAGAAAAUUUUAGCUACCAGACUCGGCUUGAGUCUGUUAAGAGGAAUUCUAUUUAUGAAGUAAAACUUAAGAAUAACAUGGUGUAAUAGCCAUAUUUCGUAUCUUGUAACUGGAUGGUAAUAUUUAAAUGAAAUUUGGUCACUUUAAAGACAUUCAAAAUUAAGAACUUUUCACCGAGAGAUUUUUCAAAUUUUAUCAUUUUUUGGGGUUAUAAUCGGUAUUGAAGUUACCAUUGUUGCCUAUGGGAAAUAUAUAAUUUCUUUGGUUAUAAGAAUCUGAACUAGAGUUUCGAGAAAAUUUUGCGGUAGAAAGUUACAUUAUAUGAUUCUGAUACAAAUAUCUAAAAGAAAUCUUGAAUUCCCCGUAGGGAGAAGAAGAAAAUCUUUUUUAUUUCUAGUUUUCAGGGGAGAUAACUCUUGAAAAACCAAAAUUAUCAGGGGAGGUAAUUUAAAGGAAAUUUUUGAGAACUUCUGUCACUAUAUAACUUCUCAAUAUUAACCUUAUUUCUGUCGUUUGACAUUUUUAAAGCUUACAUUAUCAAGUUGUAUGUGCGCUUUUGGUGAAAUUGAGGCUUAUUACACCAUGUUAUCCUUAAUGUACUGCAUGAUCCCAACGGACCAGCAAAAAAUGACACUGGAAACCAGAGUCUUUAUUAAAUUUAGCUUACUUUUUUUCUACACAGAAUAUUUUGUCAUGCAUUGUUCUUUACUUUUCAACACAUAAUUUAUGCACUUUUUAUUGCUGGGACUGUUGGAUGACUUUGUAUGAGAGAGGAUCACCUGUGUUUUUAAGAGAGAGGAACAGAAGAAAGAUCGAGGUUAGAUGACUGAGAGGCGGUCACAUCAGUCGACUAUAGAUGAAUUAAGAGACGGUCACAUCGAUCACGUGCAAAUAAUUAGGGAAAGGCUCUUAGCGAUAUAAGAAAAUUCCCGCUGGUACUGGGCCAGGGACUUGUAGGCAAAUUGUAGUUCUAUUACUACUUUAUUGUUGUUAGCAUGUGGGAGUUUUGGGGUGAUCUCACCAUUCGAGCAAUUUGCCGGAACUGUUCCCGUAUCAAAACAGUAGUUGCAAAUAUUUCUUGACAUAAAACAGCUAUAAAAUAUCAAUAGGUAUAUUAUGAAAAGCAGUAAAAAUAGGAAUUAUUUGGACCUAACUGGAAUAUGCUUCUAUCAUCUGGUGCCCUCACACAAAACAAUCAUUAGCAAGUAAAUGUUUUUUGCUUUAAUUCCAUAAGGUCACAUUUGAAAUAUGAUGUACACAAUUGCACGUAUAUUCCAGUCUAUGUGAUUGUAGAUGCAUAUUUCUGGUUAGUCUGGUAGGUGUUUCUAUGCAAACGGAAGACUGAGUGCUACAGUGUUGUGGUAGAUUUUGUAAAAGUGAGUCUGAAGUUCAAUCUCCGUUGUUCUAGAGACCACUAGCCCAGAUUUUCCUGCCCUGUAAUAACACCCAAAAGAAGGAUAUAUAAUCACGCUCAACACAUCCUAAGACGCACUCCUGGACCGUUUCAAACUUGUCAGUAUUGGUCCUUGUGCUGGAGCUCCAGUUUGUAAAAGCAUAUUCCAGUUGGUGUUGGACUAACGCCUAAUAUGUUCAUGGUUGUUAGUUAUGUUUCACUUUAUAUGAAUCUAACGGUUUUAUUAGUAUGAUACUUUCGUGUUAUAGUUUAGAUCACAAGAAAAAUGUAGUCCAAGAUAUUUAGGAGACGUCGUCAUAAAGACAGUAAAUACAUGUAUUCUAGUGACAGAUGAGGAUGAUUUGACAUUAAGAAGUCGCACUGUUUCUCGAAGAUCUGCACCUUGUCGGCGUAUUCUGUGAGGACUGAGUAUCUGUAAGUGAUUGGUAGUAAUGUAGGCCAUAGUAUCAUCUACAGAGGACCGAAGUUGGUUAAUAUAUAAAGGACAAAGUACAGGCAGCAAAAGUACAUUAAGUUUGGGGACCUCGGAAGUGACAGGUAUUUCUGCAGAACAAUCAACAGCUUCUGCCAGUCAGAAAGAACCAUGCCCAGUUUUAAAUUUGACGAGAGACGCCAUAUCUUCAAGAGGGCGAAGUAGUAUGAGAUGGUUAACGUUGCGGAAUAUUUUACAAAAUUCAUGAAAAUUAGGUCUCUAUUUGGUUGAUAGAAGCAAUUUUGCUGACGUUGAAUCAGCUGGUUUCGUAUAAAAGUCUCUUAUAGUCAUUCAGGAAGAACGAUGUGUUCUAAAGUUUUAAAAAGGUGAGUGAGAUAGGCCUACACUAGGCUGUUUCACUGGUGUUGUCCUUACUUAUAUACAGGUAAAACUACUUUGACAUUGGUCAAGUCACAUGAGGUGACACCAGACGACAGGGUUUUCUGAAAGAGGACAGUUGUGUCAUUAGUAAUUUCAUGCCUCGACUGACCUGAUCCGGUCCUGUUAAGUUUAAAAAAAUUGCAGAGGAUUUACAUUUCUUGGCUUUUGAAAACGUGUUUGCUUCAUUUGCUAGAGAAAAACAGUUGAAACUAUUUGCGAUCUAUGUGCAAAUUUGGUGUCAAAGUACACACUUUCUUGAAAAUGUGGGACUAUUUGUGAUUACCUCUAUAUCUGUCACAAGUAAAUCUUAACGCGCACAGUAGAGUGGAGCCCGCCAAAAGACGUCUGAAGAAAACAACAGCUAACUCAGACAUUCCUCAAAUCAGAAUAAAAAGCAUGGCACGUGAUGGCACAUGUGGCUGUUCUGUAUAGGGGAGAAGGGGUUCGGGAAAAUCUGAAAUCCUAUGAGUAAAACAAUGCAGUUUGAGUCACAGAAAAUAAGCAAGACUACAAGUGAUUUUUGGGCACAACAGUCAUACCAGUUUAGAAGAGUUUUGAAAAUAAUAUCACAACCAUGACAAAUACGGGCGUGUAUAUGGGUUUCGCCGUUGUCAGAAAAUGUUUGAAGAAAACAUCGACAGACUUGUACAGUUAUCUGUUCAAUGCAUCUUUUCCGUAACAUUUUUUUUCCGUCUCUUUACUAUAAAAAAAGAAGAAUUUAAGAAUUUUUCACUGGCUGAAGGUUCGGAUUGAAAUUGAUCGCUCGAGAGCAACUAUUAAGAU